RNAcentral lists this ribosomal RNA (253 nucleotides) under uncultured bacterium. RNAcentral's name for it is "partial 16S ribosomal RNA". It matches the Rfam family "Bacterial small subunit ribosomal RNA", at positions 524 to 776 of the family's 1533-position model. The record is from RNAcentral.
UACAGAGGUCUCAAGCGUUGUUCGGAUUUAUUGGGCGUAAAGGGUGCGUAGGCGGCAGGGUAAGUUAGGUGUGAAAUAUCGAGGCUCAACUUCGAUACUGCACUUGAUACUGCCUUGCUCGAGUGCUAGAGAAGAAGCUGGAAUUUACGGUGUAGCAGUGAAAUGCGUAGAUAUCGUAAGGAACGCCAGUGGCGAAAGCGAGCUUCUAGAUAGUUACUGACGCUGAGGCACGAAAGCUGGGGGAGCAAACGGG